GCGGUGGUAGCUCAGUUGGACAGAGCGCCGGCCUGUCACGCCGGAUGCCGCGGGUUCAAGUCCCGUCCGCCGCGCCA
Molecule: transfer RNA, 77 nt
Filed under: Burkholderia ubonensis
Lineage: Bacteria; Pseudomonadati; Pseudomonadota; Betaproteobacteria; Burkholderiales; Burkholderiaceae
Description: tRNA-Asp
Rfam family: tRNA
About the family: Transfer RNA (tRNA) molecules are approximately 80 nucleotides in length. Their secondary structure includes four short double-helical elements and three loops (D, anti-codon, and T loops).
Source: RNAcentral